This 483-nucleotide ribosomal RNA is filed under the name uncultured bacterium. RNAcentral's name for it is "partial 16S ribosomal RNA". It matches the Rfam family "Bacterial small subunit ribosomal RNA", at positions 30 to 507 of the family's 1533-position model. The record is from RNAcentral.
AUUGAACGCUGGCGGCAGGCCUAACACAUGCAAGUCGAGCGGAUGAAGGGAGCUUGCUCCUGGAUUCAGCGGCGGACGGGUGAGUAAUGCCUAGGAAUCUGCCUGGUAGUGGGGGAUAACGUCCGGAAACGGGCGCUAAUACCGCAUACGUCCUGAGGGAGAAAGUGGGGGAUCUUCGGACCUCACGCUAUCAGAUGAGCCUAGGUCGGAUUAGCUAGUUGGAGGGGUAAGGCCUACCAAGGCGACGAUCCGUAACUGGUCUGAGAGGAUGAUCAGUCACACUGGAACUGAGACACGGUCCAGACUCCUACGGGAGGCAGCAGUCGGGAAUAUUGGACAAUGGGCGAAAGCAUGAUCCAGCCAUGCCGCGUGUGUGAAGAAGGUCUUCGGAUUGUAAAGCACUUUAAGUUGGGAGGAAGGGCAGUAAGUUAAUACCUUGCUGUUUUGACGUUACCAGCAGAAUAAGCACCGGCUAACUUCGUG